Long non-coding RNA from Paramormyrops kingsleyae, 1019 nucleotides. RefSeq lists it as uncharacterized. The record is from RefSeq and is a predicted model, not a curated record. NCBI's taxonomy places the organism in Eukaryota, Metazoa, Chordata, Actinopteri, Osteoglossiformes, Mormyridae.
UAGACUGCAUGCUUGUUUAUGCAGAUAAAAUUGUCUGCAAACGAAUGUAUUAAUUUAAUUUGCCUUUAGUACCUGUAAUUUACUGCAGACUACUGUUACUGUAGCCUGGAAAUGCCAGUUAUACAGGUGCAGUCACGUGCCUCUGUUGUGGGGGCAAUUUGUAAAGUGUGCCCCCGAGUCAUUGGACGAGGAUGAAGCUGUUCCCUUUAAGCUGUGUGCGCAUUUGCAGCCCAACGCGAACUGUUUUAUUAAACCAGGAGCCAUUUUUGUACUAUUGGUGUUUAUAUGGGCGGCAUAGUGGGCUUGGCCUUCGGAUCCCACCUGUGUGUGCGUGUGACUCGUGACCCAGCCGUCCACCUCCAGGGCAUCUGCGUGUCUGUGACAAUGAGAAUCCAGUGAGAAGAGGCCUAGGGCAGAAAUACAGACAACCAAAGUUCACUUUGUGGAGCUGCAGUGGGAGAGAUUCAGAGGCGACCUCUCUUAUCGGGUUUGCACAGCUGGGAGCUACAGGAGCACAUGCGGCACACAUACGGCACGUGGGUGCGAGGCCCACAGGCAGAGCGGGCCGGAGCUGGGUCCCGUCCCGGCGUCAUCCGGCAGGGUGUAUGAACACACAGGAGGAGAAGCAGGGAGUCAGAGCCUGGGAGUGCAGGGACUCCGUACUAGGAGGGCGUGGUAGAGAUGCGCCUCCCUCUGUACUGGAGCGCUCUUCUUGGCUCCGGGUCGGCUUUGUGGGGUGGGGCCUGUGUGAGUCACUGGGCCUUUGAUAAGGGCCUAAACCCCGCAGGAGGGGAAGGGUGUGGUACUGCAGGCUGUGCCUCAGCUGGCUGCCCUGGCACUCGUUGAGCAAUAGAAGGAGCCUGUCCCCAGCUCAGCAUGGGCUACUCUGACCCAAAGAAGCACCAUCAGUGUAUUUAGCAGUGACCAGGGAGUUUUCUCUGGUUCCGCAAAGCCCCCGUUCCUGAGCCAUCCUGCGGACACAAAGACAUAUUAAUUCUUUAGAAUGGCAGAGUUACAGA